UAGAGUUUGAUCCUGGCUCAGAAUGAACGUUGGCGGCGUGGAUUAGGCAUGCAAGUCGCGCGCCCCGCAAGGGGAGCGGCGCAAGGGUGAGUAAGGCGACGGUAACCAACCCCACAAAUGGGCAUAGCCGCGGGAAACUGCGGGUAAUUCCCAGCGAUGUCAGAGACGGGCAUCCGUUUUUGACCAAAGUUCCGGCGUUGUGGGACGGGCCGUUGUGGUAUUAGCUUGUUGGCGGGGUGACGGCCCACCAAGGCUGCGAUGCCUACCGGGCGUGCGAGCGUGGCCCGGCACACUGGGACUGAGACACUGCCCAGACUCCUACGGGAGGCUGCAGUCGAGAAUCUUCGGCAAUGGGCGCAAGCCUGACCGAGCGACGCCGCGUGGAGGACGAAGGCCUUCGGGUUGUAAACUCCUGUCGAGGGGGAGGAAGGCGUAAGCUUGACCGAUCCCUGGAGGAAGCACGGGCUAAGUUCGUGCCAGCAGCCGCGGUAAUACA
This 496-nucleotide ribosomal RNA is filed under the name uncultured soil bacterium. RNAcentral describes it as "bacterial SSU rRNA". It matches the Rfam family "Bacterial small subunit ribosomal RNA", at positions 1 to 527 of the family's 1533-position model. The record is from RNAcentral.